RNAcentral lists this transfer RNA (74 nucleotides) under Candidatus Woesearchaeota archaeon CG10_big_fil_rev_8_21_14_0_10_37_12. RNAcentral describes it as "tRNA-Ile". It matches the Rfam family "tRNA". Rfam says of the family: Transfer RNA (tRNA) molecules are approximately 80 nucleotides in length. Their secondary structure includes four short double-helical elements and three loops (D, anti-codon, and T loops). The record is from RNAcentral. Lineage: Archaea; Nanobdellati; Candidatus Woesearchaeota.
GACCCCGUGGCUUAGCCUGGUAGAGCACUCGACUGAUAAUCGAGAGGUCCUGAGUUCAAAUCUCAGCGGGGUCA